RNAcentral lists this ribosomal RNA (827 nucleotides) under uncultured bacterium. RNAcentral describes it as "bacterial SSU rRNA". It matches the Rfam family "Bacterial small subunit ribosomal RNA", at positions 94 to 954 of the family's 1533-position model. The record is from RNAcentral.
AGUGGCGUACGGGUGAGUAACACGUGGAUAACCUGCCCUUUAGUGGGGAAUACCGCUGGGAAACCGGCGACAAUACCGCAUAAGCUCGAGAGAGGAAAGCAGCAAUGCGCUGAAGGAGGGGUCCGCGGCCGAUUAGCUAGUUGGCAGGGUAAAAGCCUACCAAGGCUGUGAUCGGUAGCCGGCCUGAGAGGGCACACGGCCACACUGGCACUGAAACACGGGCCAGACUCCUACGGGAGGCAGCAGUGGGGAAUCUUGCACAAUGGGGGAAACCCUGAUGCAGCGACGCCGCGUGAGCGAUGAAGCCCUUCGGGGUGUAAAGCUCUUUCGGCAGGGACGAUUAUGACGGUACCUGCAGAAGCAGCUGCGGCUAACUACGUGCCAGCAGCCGCGGUAAUACGUAGGCAGCAAGCGUUGUUCGGAGUUACUGGGCGUAAAGGGUGCGUAGGCGGCUUUUUAAGUUUGGUGUGGAAUCUCCCGGCUCAACUGGGAGGGUGCGCCGAAUACUGAGAGGCUAGAGUGUGGGAGAGGAAAGUGGAAUUCCAGGUGUAGCGGUGAAAUGCGUAGAUAUCUGGAGGAACACCGGUGGUGUAAACGGCUUUCUGGACCAUUACUGACGCUGAUGCACGAAAGCGUGGGUAGCAAACAGGAUUAGAUACCCUGGUAGUCCACGCCCUAAACGAUGCAUAUUUGGUGUGGGCCAUUCAUUUGGUCCGUGCCGGAGCUAACGCGUUAAAUAUGCCGCCUGGGGAGUACAGUCGCAAGGCUGAAACUCAAAGGAAUUGACGGGGGCCCGCACAAGCGGUGGAGCAUGUGGUUUAAUUCGA